Long non-coding RNA from Rhincodon typus (whale shark), 490 nucleotides. RefSeq lists it as uncharacterized. Lineage: Eukaryota; Metazoa; Chordata; Chondrichthyes; Orectolobiformes; Rhincodontidae. The transcript is spliced from 3 exons. The record is from RefSeq and is a predicted model, not a curated record.
AAAUAGUUUUAUGUAGCACGGGUUGUAUUUGUCGGAGUGGGUACGUGCACUGUAUAUGAACUGGGAUGAAAGGUGCCCAGGUACCUCAGGGAGAAUUCAUCAAUUGUAUGAUACCAGGAGUACGCGUUGUCAGAGAAUGCCCCAGCCUUUGGUUUUACGAUAAGGGGACUCGGAAAGUGCUGUCGUUUCACUGAGCUAUGCAAACUGGCUUUUAAUGGAAUCUCCAAGUUGUGCCAUGUGACGUUGGAACACAGAUGAUUGGAGUAGGGGGAGGCUAUUCAGCCCCUCAAACCUGCUCUACCACUCCAUAUGAUCAUGGCUGAUCAUCGAGCUCAAUGCCCUAUUCCACCCUCCUCCCAUAUCCCAUAAUCCUUUUAGCCAGGAGCCGUAUUUACCUCCUUGAAAACACUAUAUGUUUUGGCCUCAACCACUUUCUGUUGCAGAGGAUUCCCUCUGCUCACCACUUUCUGGGUGAAGACAUUUCUCCUUA